RNAcentral lists this ribosomal RNA (254 nucleotides) under uncultured bacterium. Its description in RNAcentral is "partial 16S ribosomal RNA". It matches the Rfam family "Bacterial small subunit ribosomal RNA", at positions 524 to 776 of the family's 1533-position model. The record is from RNAcentral.
CACGCAGGGGGCGAGCGUUGUCCGGAUUUAUUGGGCGUAAAGAGCUCGUAGGCGGCUCGGUAAGUCAGGUGUGAAAACUCUAGGCUCAACUUAGAGACGCCACCUGAUACUGCCGUGGCUAGAGUCCGGUAGGGGAGCAUGGAAUUCCUGGUGUAGCGGUGAAAUGCGCAGAUAUCAGGAGGAACACCAGUGGCGAAGGCGGUGCUCUGGGCCGGAACUGACGCUGAGGAGCGAAAGCGUGGGGAGCAAACAGG